UACAUUUUCUGUGAAAAUAAACACUCUUUUCUAAACCAAGGCUUAACCUGUGCAUGCACUAUCUCUGUACUCUGUACUCUGUUCUCUGUACCCCUGACUAGAGCUUGCUCUAGAUGGAUAAGUCAUACCUGUUAAGCCUGAUUUUUCACAUACAGUAAAACAUAUAUACAUAUACAGAUCAUGUACAAAACAUACAUCACUAAGUCAAGCACAUUUCUACCUUUAUACACAACUUUAAUAUUACAUGUCCACUCUAAGCUAUUACAAAUCUCUUUACUCUUUCUGUACUCUGCUGGACUGUCCAUGUACACUGUACACUGAAAUCCUGCAAGACUGGGAUUAAGGGAGUGGGAUGAGCUCUAUAGCCCAGUGAGUAGAAUAACAAAAUCAGUCAUAACAUAUGAUCUCAUGGAAUGCGUCAUAACACAGACAAGCCACAUCAAGAGUAAACCUGUCAGGGCGUAGUCAAAGGCUCCUGGUCUUUACUAUACCUGCCAGGGCGUAGUCAAAGGCUCCUGGUCUUAGCUCAGAGACUAUUGGAUCAUUCA
RNAcentral lists this long non-coding RNA (548 nucleotides) under Manihot esculenta (cassava). RNAcentral describes it as "long non-coding RNA (MESC_LNC013125)". The record is from RNAcentral. Lineage: Eukaryota; Viridiplantae; Streptophyta; Magnoliopsida; Malpighiales; Euphorbiaceae.